CUUCUACCACGACCGACCCCAUAUAAAUUCCGCCCGAUUCCUCCUCUACCGAUUUUCGCCAAAACGGAGUUCUCCCGUGUCCUAGAACGGCUGUUCGAUCUCGCCGGAGUUCAGCCGCUGUUGACCUCCGCCAUCGUCGUUUCCGUCGUCGACAGGGGGGGAGCACCAGGACGCCGCCCACGAGCCCAACCCGAAGAAGAUCGCCGCCGCGCCAUAGCUUGAGCACUGCCGCCAGCAGAGGCCACCCCCGCCGCCGUGGACGCCGUCAAAGUCAUCUCCGUCGUACGCCGCUCCCUCCUGUACUUCAGCCAUCUCCGGGGGGGCACCAUAGCCGUCGCCACCAUCGUCCAGGGCCUCGCCGCCGCCGUCUCGUUCAAGUCUGGCGCUGCCCCAGCCUCUGCUUUCCGAUUGUCCGGAGUGUGAAGCGGAUCAGAAUUGAGCGUUAGAAUACUUCAACACUGUUCAAGGCAAGUUUGCACUUUUGAUUUUGCUCAUCCUAUAUUCUACUAUGCAUGUGUGAUUUUUAUGCUAUGACAUGUGCUUGGUUUGAUUUGUAUGUUCUCUGUUGUCAUAUUCUGAUAUUGAUUGUCUUGUGUGAUUAACUUGCUAUGGUAGACAUGGGUAUGUGUCGAGUGAUGCGUGGAAGUGGUGAGUCUUUAUAGCAGUAGGAUCGGGACUUUUUCUCAGGUGAAUGCAUCAAUGGCUGAGUGCUGUAUUGUCCCUAGAGAAUGCGCCAUGACUGAGUGCACUUGAGUUGUCGGGGCUUUUUCUCACGUGAAUGCGUCACUGGCUGAGCGCUCUAUUAUCCCUAGAGAAUGUGCCAGGACUGAGCGCACUUGAGACAUCUUGAAGGUCUUUAUCAUCUGUGUUGUCGUGGAGGUAGGUGAAGGUAGUUUUACGCGAAACCAACUUGAGUGUUUUGUUUGUCAUACUUUGCUUGUGGAUGUAGGUUUUUUUUUAUCAUUAUGUGUAAUUUGCCAAUAUAUUCAAUGUAUUGACCCUUUGUGGCUGCAACUUAUCAUGUUGCAGGAUUUUCAGAUGAUCAGUGAGAUACAAUAGGGUCGCGAGUCUUGACUCAACAUUUUCGCCAGUGGGCAUUGACGGGACUCAUCAUUUGUUAGGCUACAUUUCCGCUGUUAUUAUUGAAUAAAGCUAGCUAUGUGCUACUCAGUUUGUAAUACUUUGUGAUUUCUGGAUCAUACGUUAUAGUAAAUGAUGCACUUGUUAUUUGA
Long non-coding RNA from Triticum aestivum (bread wheat), 1232 nucleotides. RefSeq lists it as uncharacterized. Lineage: Eukaryota; Viridiplantae; Streptophyta; Magnoliopsida; Poales; Poaceae. The record is from RefSeq and is a predicted model, not a curated record. The transcript is spliced from 3 exons.